Molecule: ribosomal RNA, 873 nt
Filed under: uncultured bacterium
Lineage: Bacteria
Description: bacterial SSU rRNA
Rfam family: Bacterial small subunit ribosomal RNA
Source: RNAcentral
CUUGGCGGGGGUGCUUUACCAUGCAAGUCGAACGCGAAAGUUUUCUUCGGAAGACGAGUAGAGUGGCGCACGGGUGAGUAACGCGUAAGUUAUCUACCUCGGCAUCUGGGAUAACUCACCGAAGGGUGUGCUAAUACCGGAUACGUUGAGUAAUCAAGGAAGGUGGCCUCUGAAUAUGCUACUGUGCUGAGAUGAGCUUGCGUACCAUUAGCUAGUUGGUAGGGUAAUGGCCUACCAAGGCAACGAUGGUUAGCGGGUCUGAGAGGAUGAUCCGCCACACUGGAACUGAAACACGGACCAGACUCCUACGGGAGGCAGCAGUGAGGAAUAUUGCGCAAUGGGGGCAACCCUGACGCAGCGACGCCGCGUGGAUGAUGAAGGCCUUCGGGUCGUAAAAUCCUGUCAAGUGGAAAGAAGUGCAUAAUGGCUAAUAUCCAUUAUGUUUGACGGUACCACUGAAGGAAGCACCGGCUAACUCCGUGCCAGCAGCCGCGGUAAUACGGAGGGUGCAAGCGUUGUUCGGAAUUACUGGGCGUAAAGCGCGCGUAGGCGGUUUGUUAAGUCAGAUGUGAAAGCCCUCGGCUCAACCGGGGACGUGCAUUUGAAACUGGCAGACUUGAGUAUUGGAGGGGGUGGUGGAAUUCCCGGUGUAGAGGUGAAAUUCGUAGAUAUCGGGAGGAAUACCGGUGGCGAAGGCGACCACCUGGCCAAAUACUGACGCUGAGGUGCGAAAGCGUGGGGAGCAAACAAGGAUUAGAUACCCUGGUAGUCCACGCCGUAAACGAUGAGAACUAGUGUUGGGACGGUUAUCGUCUCAUUGCCGCAGCUAACGCAUUAAGUUCUCCCGCCCUGGGGGGAGUACCGGUCGGCAAG